This 2047-nucleotide ribosomal RNA is filed under the name Cronobacter sakazakii. RNAcentral's name for it is "partial 23S ribosomal RNA". It matches the Rfam family "Bacterial large subunit ribosomal RNA", at positions 890 to 2915 of the family's 2925-position model. The record is from RNAcentral. Lineage: Bacteria; Pseudomonadati; Pseudomonadota; Gammaproteobacteria; Enterobacterales; Enterobacteriaceae.
UCAUCUCCGGGGGUAGAGCACUGUUUCGGCUAGGGGGCCAUCCCGGCUUACCAACCCGAUGCAAACUGCGAAUACCGGAGAAUGUUAUCACGGGAGACACACGGCGGGUGCUAACGUCCGUCGUGAAGAGGGAAACAACCCAGACCGCCAGCUAAGGUCCCAAAGUCAUGGUUAAGUGGGAAACGAUGUGGGAAGGCCCAGACAGCCAGGAUGUUGGCUUAGAAGCAGCCAUCAUUUAAAGAAAGCGUAAUAGCUCACUGGUCGAGUCGGCCUGCGCGGAAGAUGUAACGGGGCUAAACCAUGCACCGAAGCUGCGGCAGCGACACUAUGUGUUGUUGGGUAGGGGAGCGUUCUGUAAGCCUGCGAAGGUGUGCUGUGAGGCAUGCUGGAGGUAUCAGAAGUGCGAAUGCUGACAUAAGUAACGAUAAAGCGGGUGAAAAGCCCGCUCGCCGGAAGACCAAGGGUUCCUGUCCAACGUUAAUCGGGGCAGGGUGAGUCGACCCCUAAGGCGAGGCCGAAAGGCGUAGUCGAUGGGAAACAGGUUAAUAUUCCUGUACUUGGUGUUACUGCGAAGGGGGGACGGAGAAGGCUAUGUCGGCCGGGCGACGGUUGUCCCGGUUUAAGCGUGUAGGCUGACUUUCCAGGCAAAUCCGGAAGGUUAAGGCUGAGGCGUGAUGACGAGGCACCACGGUGCUGAAGUGACAAAUGCCCUGCUUCCAGGAAAAGCCUCUAAGCAUCAGGUAACAUCAAAUCGUACCCCAAACCGACACAGGUGGUCAGGUAGAGAAUACCAAGGCGCUUGAGAGAACUCGGGUGAAGGAACUAGGCAAAAUGGUGCCGUAACUUCGGGAGAAGGCACGCUGACAUGUAGGUGAAGCCCCUGCGGGUGGAGCUGAAGUCAGUCGAAGAUACCAGCUGGCUGCAACUGUUUAUUAAAAACACAGCACUGUGCAAACACGAAAGUGGACGUAUACGGUGUGACGCCUGCCCGGUGCCGGAAGGUUAAUUGAUGGGGUUAUCGCAAGAGAAGCUCCUGAUCGAAGCCCCGGUAAACGGCGGCCGUAACUAUAACGGUCCUAAGGUAGCGAAAUUCCUUGUCGGGUAAGUUCCGACCUGCACGAAUGGCGUAAUGAUGGCCAGGCUGUCUCCACCCGAGACUCAGUGAAAUUGAACUCGCUGUGAAGAUGCAGUGUACCCGCGGCAAGACGGAAAGACCCCGUGAACCUUUACUACAGCUUGACACUGAACAUUGAGCCUUGAUGUGUAGGAUAGGUGGGAGGCUUUGAAGCGUGGACGCCAGUCUGCGUGGAGCCGACCUUGAAAUACCACCCUUUAAUGUUUGAUGUUCUAACCUGGCGCCGUGAUCCGGCGUGGGGACAGUGUCUGGUGGGUAGUUUGACUGGGGCGGUCUCCUCCCAAAGUGUAACGGAGGAGCACGAAGGUCAGCUAAUCCUGGUCGGACAUCAGGAGGUUAGUGCAAUGGCAUAAGCUGGCUUGACUGCGAGAGUGACGGCUCGAGCAGGUGCGAAAGCAGGUCAUAGUGAUCCGGUGGUUCUGUAUGGAAGGGCCAUCGCUCAACGGAUAAAAGGUACUCCGGGGAUAACAGGCUGAUACCGCCCAAGAGUUCAUAUCGACGGCGGUGUUUGGCACCUCGAUGUCGGCUCAUCACAUCCUGGGGCUGAAGUAGGUCCCAAGGGUAUGGCUGUUCGCCAUUUAAAGUGGUACGCGAGCUGGGUUUAGAACGUCGUGAGACAGUUCGGUCCCUAUCUGCCGUGGGCGCUGGAGAAUUGAGGGGGGCUGCUCCCAGUACGAGAGGACCGGAGUGGACGCAUCACUGGUGUUCGGGUUGUCAUGCCAAUGGCACUGCCCGGUAGCUAAAUGCGGAAGAGAUAAGUGCUGAAAGCAUCUAAGCACGAAACUUGCCCCGAGAUGAGUUCUCCCUGAGACUGUAAGUCUCCUGAAGGAACGUUGAAGACGACGACGUUGAUAGGCCGGGUGUGUAAGCGCAGCGAUGCGUUGAGCUAACCGGUACUAAUGAACCGUGAGG